Molecule: long non-coding RNA, 312 nt
Filed under: Mytilus galloprovincialis (Mediterranean mussel)
Lineage: Eukaryota; Metazoa; Mollusca; Bivalvia; Mytilida; Mytilidae
Source: RNAcentral
AUUUAAUAUGAAUUAAUGUUGUAAAGUCUUAUAAACACUCGAUGCUCGCUUAGAAAUAAGUAAACAAACCAACACGUGUUUUUUUAUAAGUUAUCUGUUCUUGUUUUUCGUAGGCGUUCAACAUAGGAGAUCAAAGAUAUUUGAGUUAUCUUUUCUUGAUUUCGUGACAUCACGACGAGAUUCAAUAUGGCCGAAUAAAAUAGGGGGAGAAUAUAUACAAAUGGAAAUAAUUAGAUAAUAGUGUUUAGGAAAUGAAUAUUCAAACAUAAAUAGGUACAUCAUAUCCUAGAAAAAUAUCUAACAAAACGAACU